RNAcentral lists this ribosomal RNA (465 nucleotides) under uncultured bacterium. Its description in RNAcentral is "partial 16S ribosomal RNA". It matches the Rfam family "Bacterial small subunit ribosomal RNA", at positions 28 to 507 of the family's 1533-position model. The record is from RNAcentral.
GACGAACGCUGGCGGCGUGCUUAACACAUGCAAGUCGAACGGAAAGGCCCUGCUUGCAGGGUACUCGAGUGGCGAACGGAUGAGUAACACGUGGGUGAUCUGCCCUGCACUUCGGGAUAAGCCUGGGAAACUGGGUCUAAUACCGGAUAGGAGCCAUUUUUAGUGUGAUGGUUGGAAAGUUUUUUCGGUGUAGGAUGAGCUCGCGGCCUAUCAGCUUGUUGGUGGGGUAAUGGCCUACCAAGGCGGCGACGGGUAGCCGGCCUGAGAGGGUGGACGGCCACAUUGGGACUGAGAUACGGCCCAGACUCCUACGGGAGGCAGCAGUGGGGAAUAUUGCACAAUGGGCGCAAGCCUGAUGCAGCGACGCCGCGUGGGGGAUGACGGCCUUCGGGUUGUAAACUCCUUUCGCUAGGGACGAAGCUUUUUGUGACGGUACCUAGAGAAGAAGCACCGGCUAACUACGUG